UACGGAGGGUGCAAGCGUUGCUCGGAAUUAUUGGGCGUAAAGGGUAGGUAGGUGGUCUCAUUUGUCUAGGGUGAAAGCCUUGAGCUUAACUCAAGAAGUGCCCUAGAAACGGUGAGACUGGAGUCCUAGAGAGGGUCGUGGAAUUCCCGGUGUAGCGGUGAAAUGCGUAGAGAUCGGGAGGAACACCAGAGGCGAAAGCGGCGACCUGGAUAGGUACUGACACUCAACUACGAAAGCGUGGGGAGCAAACAGG
Molecule: ribosomal RNA, 253 nt
Filed under: uncultured bacterium
Lineage: Bacteria
Description: partial 16S ribosomal RNA
Rfam family: Bacterial small subunit ribosomal RNA
Source: RNAcentral